This 471-nucleotide ribosomal RNA is filed under the name uncultured bacterium. RNAcentral describes it as "partial 16S ribosomal RNA". It matches the Rfam family "Bacterial small subunit ribosomal RNA", at positions 28 to 507 of the family's 1533-position model. The record is from RNAcentral.
GACGGACGCUGGCGGCGUGCUUAACACAUGCAAGUCGAACGAUGAAGCGGUGCUUGCACCGUGGAUUAGUGGCGAACGGGUGAGUAGUACGUGAGUGACCUACCUUUGACUCUGGGAUAAGCCUGGGAAACUGGGUCUAAUACCGGAUACGACCAAUCUCUGCAUGGGGUGUUGGUGGAAAGCGUUAUGGAGUGGUUUUAGAUGGGCUCACGGCCUAUCAGCUUGUUGGUGAGGUAAUGGCUUACCAAGGCGACGACGGGUAGCCGGCCUGAGAGGGUGACCGGCCACACUGGGACUGAGACACGGCCCAGACUCCUACGGGAGGCAGCAGUGGGGAAUAUUGCACAAUGGGCGCAAGCCUGAUGCAGCGACGCCGCGUGAGGGAUGACGGCCUUCGGGUUGUAAACCUCUGUUAGCAUCGAAGAAGCGAAAGUGACGGUAGGUGCAGAGAAAGCGCCGGCUAACUACGUG